Molecule: long non-coding RNA, 507 nt
Organism: Oncorhynchus tshawytscha (Chinook salmon)
Lineage: Eukaryota; Metazoa; Chordata; Actinopteri; Salmoniformes; Salmonidae
Source: Ensembl
CUGCAAAUGAUCAGCAGUCAGCAGUUCACACACCAAGUAGGCCACUUGGAAGGCAGGCAGCUCUUAAAGCAGAAGGCCCUAGCUAGCAAAAAGACCGUACUAGACCACAACAGAUAAAGACAACAAAAGAUGCCCAUUGUGUGACUAUGGACUACCAGAACAGAGCAAAUCCACUCUCCUCUCAGUCCAGAAUGUCCUCCUCUCUCCUGCUCCUCCUCUUCCUCCACAUCAUAGAGAUUGUCCAUGGGCAAGCAGCACAGCACCACAGCCCAAGGUUAAUGUGCCCUCAAGUUGGUGAGUGUUUAGGCUGGACAGGGCCUGAUGAAUGGUUCAUCUCUCUGUGUGUAUGCCAACGCAAACACACACCAGGGAGAGGGGAGCAUGGGACAGAUGGUGCUCCUUAGGAGGGCUCUGACUCUACCUGUCUCAAUGGGAGAGUAUGAAGGGAAGGAUGGAGAGGAGUUGACAAGGAUAGGAGAAAAAGUUAAAAAUGAGCCUGUGUUCACA